UUAGAUAAAGCAUUAAUUUCUCUUUGAAGACUCAGGGGAGCAUGAUAGGGGAUGGCCUGAAGUGAUAUACAACAAAGAGAGAGUUUCAAGCUGAGUAAUGGUGCUGAGGUGGUUUGGCCUGAAGCAGCAGCAGUAGCAGCAGCCUAGCUUGAAGGACUUUGGUGAGGGCCUCCCUUAUCAACAGGACCAAUAAUGAAAUUUGAGCUGGGUCAGGUGAUAAGAACUCCUGGAGCAAGCUAAGCAACGCUUUCCUUAGGGGCUGGACAUGGGCCUGCCUGAAGUUUGGACUCUGUCAACCCUGGACAACAAACUGGAAAGGUGGCACCAGCUUGUCCAGUAAAGAAUUGGGAUGGCAGCAUCAGCCAGCAUCUGCAAGAUGAGUUGUGUCGAUGGGAAGAUCAUUUCAUGACACUCUAGCUCUGUAAUGGAAUCAAAAGCUGCGUUGGAGUUGAUGGCAAAUACACAACAUGGUUUCCUAUUUCCAUGGGAGUUUGGCCAGGCUGUGUUCUGUAACCACUGUUAAAUAUGGGCAUUGAUUGGUUGAUGGCUAGGCUUAAGGAGGCAGCUGUUGGUGGCAUUGAGCUGAACACCAUGCGGCUUUGAAGUCUCUAAUACACCGGUGGCAUUGUCAUGUUGGCUCAGUUUGGUGGAUCGCUGGAGCUGAUGGCCGAUGUAGCUGGGCAAGAAACAGCAUGCAUUGAUUUGGUUAUUAAUCAGGAUAAAACUAAACCCCUGGCCAUUACCAUCAAGCAGCCUCCAGUUCCAGAGUACAGCCAGCUCAAUAUUAACCCAUCCAGAUGGGACAUUGAACAGGUGGCAACUGUCAAAUAUCUGGGCAUCAUCCUAGACAGUGCUGGAGCAUGCUUGAAAGAGGUGGAUGCAUUUAUAGCAGCAGCUGCUGCCACGUUUCAGGCCUUUGAGUGGCCUCUGUGGAGACUUUGCGAUAUCAAGUAUGCUACAUAGCUACAGUUCUAUAGAAUCACAUUUAUAUCAACUCUUGUACAGAGAAGUGAAACAUGGAUGCUGUGGAAGGCUGAAGAACCCUGGAUCGAUGUUUCUGGUUCUUGUUAAUUUGUCAGCUGCUCCAUAUCCAGUGAAGGACAAAAUCAGAAAUAAGGAUUUUUUUAAGAUGAAUCCAGUGACCACCUCCAUCAACACAGGGUUGGUUUGGGCAACUUUCUUGGUAUGGACAUACUAUUAGACUGGAAGGUUAAUGAACUCCAAAGUGUGUAUUAAGGAAUACUGCUACGUGACUGGCAGUCACAUGGGCACCAAAAGCUUCGGUGGUAUGAUAAGAUUGCUGGUGAUGGACCAUAAACUGAAUAUACAGCCAGACCAUCUUAAGAACCUAGCCAGAGAUUCAUCUGUGUGGCACUUGAUCCUUUUGGAAUUUGCCCUGAUGAUGAUGAGGGGAGUUAUGCACCCAACUCCAAUUGAAAGUCAGUGCAUUGACAUGGCUGCAAAGCAGUCAUCUGCAGGAGAAGAAAGAAAAAGCACUGAUACUCCAGGUGAAUGCCCCGUAUAACUUUCUGAUGGAGCCAGUGUAUCAAAGGAGACAAAGCUACCAGCUGGGACCAAAACAAGAAAGUACUAAUACGUAAACCAUUCCCAUCAGAAGGGAAAUAACAGCGGGUGGCUCUCGUAUCUGCUAUUUUUAAUAAUACAUGGAGAUUGCUAACAAAUCAGCCAUUUUCAAACUGUUAAUUGCAGAAAUGUUUGUCACCUCCUCAGGACAUAUCUCACUCGCAUCGUCCUGAAAUAUAUUUUCUCCCUUUUAUUUUUUCUGCUUUUCCAUGGGAAGAUUUUAAAAUGACAGUCACUCUCAGAAUGCAAAACAACAUGGAGAAAGAGAGAGCAUGAAAGAUAGUGAUAAAGGUUUUAAGUAUUAAAAUGAUAUGCAUAGAUAGUCCUUCUUUCAAGGGGACAUUCUGAAGGUGCCAGAAAAGAUUUAUAUAAUUAGCUGGCAAUGAGCUGCACAGUGAGUUUUUGAAUAAAAUAAAUAUUUUGAGUACACACGCGCACACACUUGCAGCAUAAGCCCUUGGGUCAGCAAAGGAAAAUCUGAAAGCUGAAAUACUGCUUGACAGCC
This is a long non-coding RNA of Mauremys mutica (yellowpond turtle), 2089 nucleotides long. RefSeq lists it as uncharacterized. NCBI's taxonomy places the organism in Eukaryota, Metazoa, Chordata, Testudines, Geoemydidae. The transcript is spliced from 3 exons. The record is from RefSeq and is a predicted model, not a curated record.